RNAcentral lists this ribosomal RNA (110 nucleotides) under Pteropus alecto (black flying fox). Lineage: Eukaryota; Metazoa; Chordata; Mammalia; Chiroptera; Pteropodidae. The record is from RNAcentral.
AUCUAUGGUCAUGCCACCCUGAUCUUGUCUGAUCUCGGAAGCUAAGCAGGGUCGGGCCUGGUUAGUACUUGGAUGGGAGGCCACCCUAGGAAGACCAAAUGCUGUAGGCG